UGUUUCGGCUAGGGGGCCAUCCCGGCUUACCAACCCGAUGCAAACUGCGAAUACCGGAGAAUGUUAUCACGGGAGACACACGGCGGGUGCUAACGUCCGUCGUGAAGAGGGAAACAACCCAGACCGCCAGCUAAGGUCCCAAAGUCAUGGUUAAGUGGGAAACGAUGUGGGAAGGCCCAGACAGCCAGGAUGUUGGCUUAGAAGCAGCCAUCAUUUAAAGAAAGCGUAAUAGCUCACUGGUCGAGUCGGCCUGCGCGGAAGAUGUAACGGGGCUAAACCAUGCACCGAAGCUGCGGCAGCGACACUGUGUGUUGUUGGGUAGGGGAGCGUUCUGUAAGCCUGUGAAGGUGGCCUGUGAGGGUUGCUGGAGGUAUCAGAAGUGCGAAUGCUGACAUAAGUAACGAUAAAGCGGGUGAAAAGCCCGCUCGCCGGAAGACCAAGGGUUCCUGUCCAACGUUAAUCGGGGCAGGGUGAGUCGACCCCUAAGGCGAGGCCGAAAGGCGUAGUCGAUGGGAAACGGGUUAAUAUUCCCGUACUUGGUGUUACUGCGAAGGGGGGACGGAGAAGGCUAUGUUGGCCGGGCGACGGUUGUCCCGGUUUAAGCGUGUAGGUGUGUGUUCCAGGUAAAUCCGGUUCACUUUAACACUGAGGCGUGAUGACGAGGCACUACGGUGCUGAAGCAACAAAUGCCCUGCUUCCAGGAAAAGCCUCUAAGCAUCAGGUAACAUCAAAUCGUACCCCAAACCGACACAGGUGGUCAGGUAGAGAAUACCAAGGCGCUUGAGAGAACUCGGGUGAAGGAACUAGGCAAAAUGGUGCCGUAACUUCGGGAGAAGGCACGCUGACACGUAGGUGAAGUGAUUUACUCACGGAGCUGAAGUCAGUCGAAGAUACCAGCUGGCUGCAACUGUUUAUUAAAAACACAGCACUGUGCAAACACGAAAGUGGACGUAUACGGUGUGACGCCUGCCCGGUGCCGGAAGGUUAAUUGAUGGGGUCAGCGCAAGCGAAGCUCCUGAUCGAAGCCCCGGUAAACGGCGGCCGUAACUAUAACGGUCCUAAGGUAGCGAAAUUCCUUGUCGGGUAAGUUCCGACCUGCACGAAUGGCGUAAUGAUGGCCAGGCUGUCUCCACCCGAGACUCAGUGAAAUUGAACUCGCUGUGAAGAUGCAGUGUACCCGCGGCAAGACGGAAAGACCCCGUGAACCUUUACUAUAGCUUGACACUGAACAUUGAGCCUUGAUGUGUAGGAUAGGUGGGAGGCUUUGAAGUGUGGACGCCAGUCUGCAUGGAGCCGACCUUGAAAUACCACCCUUUAAUGUUUGAUGUUCUAACGUGGACCCGUGAUCCGGGUUGCGGACAGUGUCUGGUGGGUAGUUUGACUGGGGCGGUCUCCUCCUAAAGAGUAACGGAGGAGCACGAAGGUUGGCUAAUCCUGGUCGGACAUCAGGAGGUUAGUGCAAUGGCAUAAGCCAGCUUGACUGCGAGCGUGACGGCGCGAGCAGGUGCGAAAGCAGGUCAUAGUGAUCCGGUGGUUCUGAAUGGAAGGGCCAUCGCUCAACGGAUAAAAGGUACUCCGGGGAUAACAGGCUGAUACCGCCCAAGAGUUCAUAUCGACGGCGGUGUUUGGCACCUCGAUGUCGGCUCAUCACAUCCUGGGGCUGAAGUAGGUCCCAAGGGUAUGGCUGUUCGCCAUUUAAAGUGGUACGCGAGCUGGGUUUAGAACGUCGUGAGACAGUUCGGUCCCUAUCUGCCGUGGGCGCUGGAGAACUGAGGGGGGCUGCUCCUAGUACGAGAGGACCGGAGUGGACGCAUCACUGGUGUUCGGGUUGUCAUGCCAAUGGCACUGCCCGGUAGCUAAAUGCGGAAGAGAUAAGUGCUGAAAGCAUCUAAGCACGAAACUUGCCCCGA
RNAcentral lists this ribosomal RNA (1910 nucleotides) under Salmonella enterica subsp. enterica serovar Kingston. Its description in RNAcentral is "partial 23S ribosomal RNA". It matches the Rfam family "Bacterial large subunit ribosomal RNA", at positions 911 to 2802 of the family's 2925-position model. The record is from RNAcentral. Lineage: Bacteria; Pseudomonadati; Pseudomonadota; Gammaproteobacteria; Enterobacterales; Enterobacteriaceae.